This 217-nucleotide ribosomal RNA is filed under the name uncultured bacterium. Its description in RNAcentral is "partial 16S ribosomal RNA". It matches the Rfam family "Bacterial small subunit ribosomal RNA", at positions 1284 to 1500 of the family's 1533-position model. The record is from RNAcentral.
CGUCUCAGUUCGGAUUGUAGUCUGCAACUCGACUACAUGAAGCUGGAAUCGCUAGUAAUCGCGGAUCAGAAUGCCGCGGUGAAUACGUUCCCGGGUCUUGUACACACCGCCCGUCACACCAUGGGAGUUGGAAAUGCCCGAAGCCAGUGACCCAACCGUAAGGAGGGAGCUGUCGAAGGUGGAGCCGAUGACUGGGGUGAAGUCGUAACAAGGUAAC